This 3372-nucleotide ribosomal RNA is filed under the name Triticum aestivum (bread wheat). Its description in RNAcentral is "partial small subunit ribosomal RNA". Lineage: Eukaryota; Viridiplantae; Streptophyta; Magnoliopsida; Poales; Poaceae. The record is from RNAcentral.
AUGGAUGUGGAGUCCUUCCUGGCGUCGUGCGCGGCAUCAGGCGACGCGGCUUACGGCGCCGCCGAGGCCGUGCUCGAGCGCCUCCAGGACCCCGCCUCCCGAUCCGCGGCCCGCCGUCUCCUCGGCGCCGUCCGCCGCCGCGUAGCCUCGGUCUACGGGAAUGAGGAAUGUCCCCGCGCCUUCAACUUCCGCAUCCGCGACGUCGUCCUCGAACCCCACCUCAAAGGAUCCCAGCAAAGAAAUAUGCUAACAAUGAUGGAGAUGCCUAGCAUUUUCAUUCCUGAAGACCAGUCCUUCACUUUCUACGAGGGUCUCAAUCAGCAUCCAGAUCCUGCUUUCAAGGAUAAGAUAGUCGCAGAGCUGGGAUGUGGCAAUGGUUGGAUAUCCAUCGCGCUUGCAGAAAAGUGGUCUCCGUUGAAGGUCUACGGUCUGGAUAUUAACCCAAGGGUUAUCAAGAUUGCAUGGAUAAAUCUUUACUUGAAUGCACUAGAUGACGAUGGUCUUUCAAUCUAUGAUGGGGAGGGGAAAACAUUACUUGAUAAAGUUGAAUUCCAUGAGUCUGAUCUUCUUGCAUACUGUAGAGACAACAAGAUAGAACUUGAUCACAUUGUUGGAUGCAUACCUCAGAUUCUUAAUCCCAAUCCAGAGGCCAUGUCAAACAUUAUCAUUGAAAAUUCUAGUGAGGAGUUUUUGUAUUCCUUGAGAAACUACUAUGCUCUUCAGGAUUUUGUUGAGGACCAAUUUGGCCUCGGGUUGAUUGCUCGUGCAGUUGAAGAAGGGAUAGCUAUCAUAAAUCCUAUGGGUAUUAUGAUAUUCAACAUGGGAGGCCGACCAGGUCAAGGUGUUUGUGAACGCGUACUUCUACGCCGUGGAUUACGCAUCAAUAAGCUCUGGCAAACAAACAUUAUGCAGGUUUCUGAUGCGGAUAUUUCAGCUUUAGUUGAAAUUGAGAAAAUUUACCCACAUCAUUUUGAGCUCUUCAUGGAUCUUCAUGGGGAUCAACCUGUCUCUGCACGCACUGCCUUGGCAUACAUGAAAUCUGGUGGCCGUGUUUCACAUGCUUUCUCCGUGUAUAGCUGUCAACUUCGCCAACCUAACCAGGUGAAGAAACUAUUUGAGAGUAUUAAAAAUGGACUUCAUGAAGUCGGCAGCUCGCUCGAUUUAUCUUUUGAUGAUGAUUCUGUUGCCGAUGAAAAGAUUCCCUUCCUAGUAUACCUAGCUCAGUUUUUGAAGGAUGAUAGGCUCAAUCCUUGUGAGCCUCCAGCUGGAUGUUUAAACUUUUGGAAUAUUGUCGCUGAAUUUAUGAAGAGCUACCACCACAUCCCAUUAACUCCUGAAAAUGUUGUUGUAUUCCCUUCCUGCGAUGUGGCAAUAGAAAAUUACCUUCGACUGUUCUCACCAUCACUUGCGAUUGUCGAUGAACAUCUGACCAGACACUUGCCCAAGCAAUGGUUGACAUCUUCAGCAAUCGAGGGGAGGGCAGAUUGUAACCGUGCUGAAGACACAGUCACUGUAAUUGAAGCACCAUGCCGGUCAGAUUUGCUGAUUGAAUUGGUCAGGAAGCUGAAGCCUCAGGUUAUUGUUACUGGCAUAGCUCAUUUUGAGGUUGUCACUAGUGCAGCUUUUGUGAACUUACUAAGCGCAACACAAGAUGUUGGUUCUCGCUUAUUGCUAGACAUUUCAGAGCAUCUGGAGCUAUCUAAUUUGCCAAACUCUAAUGGUGUGCUGAAAUAUCUUGCUGGAAACACCCUACCUUCGCAUGCAGCUAUACUGUGUGGUCUAGUAAAAAAUCAGGUUUAUUCUGAUCUGGAAGUUGCUUUUGCUAUUUCCGAGGACGCAGCUGUAUGUAAGGCAUUGUCACAAACUAUUGAGAUAUUGGAAGGACAUACUUCUGUGAUUAGCCAGCACUAUUAUGGAUGUCUUCUCCAUGAGCUGCUGGCGUUUCAAAUUGGAGACCACCAUGCACAACAAGAGAGGCAACCUGCAGAAGUGACACCUCAGAAGAUAAUAGGAUUUUCUAAUUCAGCUCUGACUACCCUAGAAGAAGCUGAAUUUUUUGUUCCCGAGUCAAAGGAUUGUAGUGUCAUUCAUAUGGAUUUAGACCGCAGUUUCUUGUCAGUACCUUCUGCAGUGAGCGCCUCCAUUUUUGAAAGUUUUGUGAGGCAGAACAUCACGGAUUCUGAAGCUGAUGUCCGUUCUAGCAUUGAAAAGCUGGUGGGAAAUAACUAUGGUUUACCAGGAGACGAUUGUCCUGAUAUUGCAGAGUCCGCCUACCGUAAGGAAAUUGUAUAUGGCAGCAGCUGUCUCGCACUUUUUAACAAGCUUAUCAUUUGCUGUGUGCAAGAACAAGGCACCUUCUUUUUCCCCAUGGGCACAAAUGGACACUAUGUGGCAGCAGCGAAGUUUAUGAACGCAAAAACCUUGACAAUUCCAACAAAUGUAGAGUCAGGCUUCAAGAUUGAACCGAUAGCUCUAGAUGCAGCUCUAGAGGAUGCCAUUGAGAACAAUAAUGUAUUCCGUCCAUGGGUGUAUAUUUCUGGCCCUACAAUCAACCCUUCUGGUUUCCUUUAUAGUGACAACGAGAUAAAAGAUCUGGUCUCUGUUUGUGCUCAUCGUUCAGCUCGGGUCGUAAUAGAUACCUCCUUUUCCGGUCUUGAGUUUCAAACUGAUGGCUGGAGUCGGUGGAAUUUGAGUACAUUAUCUUAUGACAUUUGCUUAUGUUCCACACUAACUUAUUUCAUGCUUGGAGAGCUGUCUCUUCAGCUGACAGCGUCUGGCCUUGAUUUUGGGUUUCUGAUUUGUAGUAAGCCACCCAAUGUGGAACUUAGUUUCGGAAGCUUGAGUCAGCCACAUAAGACACUGAAGUAUGCUUUUAGAAAACUGUUGGGUCUUAAAAACGAGUGCGAUGAACACUUCUCUAGUCCCUUCUAUAGUCUCAUCAUGGAGCAACAGGACAAAGGUCAGGAAUGGUUCGAACAAGUUCAAAAAGCUGAUAAGGGGAAACUCUCUAAUAUCAUCAUGGAGCAAAGGGAGAAACUCAAGAAACGUGCCAACAAGUUAAGGAAGACACUUGAGAGCUGUGGGUGGGAUGUUGUCGGCGGCGAUGGAGGUAUCUCGAUGCUGGCGAAACCGACGGCCUACAUUAGCAGAUCAUUCAAGAUAGACGGUUUUGAAGGCAAACUCGACGGCUGCAACAUUAGGGAAGCCGUUCUUAGAUCCACUGGUCUUUGCAUAAGCAGUAGCAAAUGGACCGGGAUACCAGACUACUGCCGGUUCAGCUUUGCUCUGGAGACCAGUGAAUUCGAGCGGGCAAUGGACUGCAUAAUCCGGUUCAGAGAGUUGGUUCUGGGAGAGGAACAAGGCUCGAUCUGA